Molecule: long non-coding RNA, 1474 nt
Organism: Acanthopagrus latus (yellowfin seabream)
Lineage: Eukaryota; Metazoa; Chordata; Actinopteri; Spariformes; Sparidae
Exons: 3
Source: RefSeq, a predicted model, not a curated record
UUAUGACUUUCUGGAGUGUUAUUAACAUUGAACCGUCACAGUUUGGUUGGGUUCAGGAAAAGAUCAUACGAUUACUACAUAACAUACAUAACAGUGUUUCAAAAUGUUACGUAAAGAUGCAAAUCCAUCGGGAGGAUAUUAACGGAUCGCAGCACUUCAGCACAACAAACACCCUCCCCUCCAUCGUCUCAUCUCUCAUGAUGCUCGGAGGGGCGAGAGAAAGGUAACAGGCUGGAAAAGUCAAAGCCAAUCAGCGUUACUCCGCUCCUGCCUGGAUGUUCAGUACAAGGUAGAGCCCCGGAAAGCUGACAUAGCCGAUCAUCGCUGAAAGGCCAUACGUACCCCCUGAACCUGCCUCCCCUCCCACCCGGACACCUCGUCAUGUCACGUUAACCUCCUCCCACGUAGUGAAAGACAUGCGUGCAUCCCACCAACCCGGAGUCAUCGUGAAUUUAGCUUCAUGCGAGGAGAGCUUUCAUCGGCAGGAUCAUCACGUUGCAGCUCCUCUGCCCUCGAGGCAAACACUGUAUCUCCUCUGAAUUACUUUGUUAGACCCGCAAACCUCCUCAAAAAUAGGUUGGAGGAUCCGUAGAGACUUCAGAUGCAGAGCAAUCUGGAAAAAAUUCACAAGGUCUUCCAGCAAAACACUGAGAGCAGAUUCAUCUUUUGUAAAGUCCCUCAAACUAUGCAUGUCUGCAGAAUGAACAGGAGGUGAUCGCAUGUAUCCUCUUAAAACAAUUUACUUUCCCUCUAAGCAAAGUUUGUAUAAAACAUGUUUGUUCUGUGAUACAGUUUCUUCCUGUAUUCUCUUUAUUUCCAUCAGUUUUGUAAUUCUCUCCUGAAUCCCUGAAGUAGAGACGCGUUUCUGAGACAAAAGUUUCCUUUUCAAGAAGUCUCUUUGAAAUGUAUUUCCCUUCCACUCAAGUCAAAAGGUUGUUUUUCUUCUGAAUCUAUGGUUUCCAUGGUGCUUCUUAACUUCAAAAGGAACCAAAAACUAUGUACAGGGAAAGUUUCAGUGCUGUGUCAGCGUGUGUUUGCUCUUCUACUUCUAUUUUUGUGAUGUUUUUAACAGACCUUGAGACACAGGAGGUUUUGACCAGUUAAAACUUCAUCGAGCAUUACAUUCAUCUUGUAUUAAUUUUAAGGACCACAGACUAAAUUCCUCCUGCUUCCUGUUUCCUUAGGCUAAUUAAUGCUUUUUGGUUUUUGUUUAUGCUCCAUUUUGAGUCAUCAGGUUUUACACAAACUUGUGAGGUUCAUGCCAGCUGCCACCGAGUUGUGUCGUUAAAACAGAAUGGAGACCUAACAAAUAUUGACUUAUUCUGAAAAUAAUAUACAAAAAGCUCUCUGGAUGUCAAAUCAACCUGGCAUAACAUGAGUCAUCAGGUUUUAGACAAACUUGUGGAGUCCAUGCCAGGUCAAGUGCAUGUUGUCAUUUCAAUAUAAGCUGGACAAUGCACACAAAUAAAACAUU